GGCUGGACUUGGUUGGGCUGGAUUUUGGGCUAUAACACAUUUGAUUCAUAAUCAAAAUUAAAAUUUGAAUCUGAAUCGAAAUAAAAAUUUGAAUUCUUGAAAAGGAGUAGAAAUUAAAUUUUAGGUAGAUUGGACCAUUGUAAUUCUAUUUCAGAAUCAAAAUCGGAAUGAAACUCUUUCCAACCAAAUGAUCAGAAUGAGAAUCAUCAUUUUCAUUUUUAUUUCAGUCCCCAACCCUCCCCAACCAUAUCUUCUAAGAUUAAAGUGGCCACCAGUGGGGUCUAAUGCAAUGAGACGUCUC
Molecule: long non-coding RNA, 301 nt
Filed under: Elaeis guineensis (African oil palm)
Lineage: Eukaryota; Viridiplantae; Streptophyta; Magnoliopsida; Arecales; Arecaceae
Description: long non-coding RNA (EGUI_LNC040983)
Source: RNAcentral